CUACCAUGCAAGUCGAGCGGAGAAGGGAGCUUGCUCCUGGAUUCAGCGGCGGACGGGUGAGUAAUGCCUAGGAAUCUGCCUGGUAGUGGGGGAUAACGUCCGGAAACGGGCGCUAAUACCGCAUACGUCCUGAGGGAGAAAGUGGGGGAUCUUCGGACCUCACGCUAUCAGAUGAGCCUAGGUCGGAUUAGCUAGUUGGUGGGGUAAAGGCCUACCAAGGCGACGAUCCGUAACUGGUCUGAGAGGAUGAUCAGUCACACUGGAACUGAGACACGGUCCAGACUCCUACGGGAGGCAGCAGUGGGGAAUAUUGGACAAUGGGCGAAAGCCUGAUCCAGCCAUGCCGCGUGUGUGAAGAAGGUCUUCGGAUUGAAAGCACUUUAAGUUGGGAGGAAGGGCAGUAAGUUAAUACCUUGCU
RNAcentral lists this ribosomal RNA (418 nucleotides) under Pseudomonas aeruginosa. RNAcentral describes it as "bacterial SSU rRNA". It matches the Rfam family "Bacterial small subunit ribosomal RNA", at positions 49 to 469 of the family's 1533-position model. The record is from RNAcentral. Lineage: Bacteria; Pseudomonadati; Pseudomonadota; Gammaproteobacteria; Pseudomonadales; Pseudomonadaceae.